UACAGAGGUCUCAAGCGUUGUUCGGAUUCAUUGGGCGUAAAGGGUGCGUAGGCGGCGCGGUAAGUCGGGUGUGAAAUCUCAGGGCUUAACUCCGAAACUGCAUUCGAUACUGCCGUGCUUGAGGACUGGAGAGGAGACUGGAAUUUACGGUGUAGCGGUGAAAUGCGUAGAUAUCGUAAGGAAGACCAGUGGCGAAGGCGGGUCUCUGGACAGUUCCUGACGCUGAGGCACGAAGGUCAGGGGAGCAAACGGG
Molecule: ribosomal RNA, 253 nt
Filed under: uncultured bacterium
Lineage: Bacteria
Description: partial 16S ribosomal RNA
Rfam family: Bacterial small subunit ribosomal RNA
Source: RNAcentral